Molecule: ribosomal RNA, 893 nt
Filed under: uncultured bacterium
Lineage: Bacteria
Description: bacterial SSU rRNA
Rfam family: Bacterial small subunit ribosomal RNA
Source: RNAcentral
AGAGUUUGAUCCUGGCUCAGGACGAACGCUGGCGGCGUGCUUAACACAUGCAAGUCGAACGAUGAUGCACCUUUUGGGGUGUGGAUUAGUGGCGAACGGGUGAGUAACACGUGAGUAACCUGCCCCUUUCUUUGGGAUAACUGUCGGAAACGGUGGCUAAUACCGGAUAUUCAUAUGCUGUCGCAUGGUGGUGUGUGGAAAGAUUUUUUGGUGGGGGAUGGGCUCGCGGCCUAUCAGUUUGUAGGUGAGGUGAUGGCUCACCAAGGCGUUGACGGGUAGCCGGCCUGAGAGGGCGACCGGCCACACUGGGACUGAGAUACGGCCCAGACUCCUACGGGAGGCAGCAGUGGGGAAUAUUGCACAAUGGGCGGAAGCCUGAUGCAGCGACGCCGUGUGCGGGAUGACGGCCUUCGGGUUGUAAACCGCUUUCAACUGUGACGAAUUUGACGGUAGCAGUAGAAGAAGCACCGGCUAACUACGUGCCAGCAGCCGCGGUGAUACGUAGGGUGCGAGCGUUGUCCGGAUUUAUUGGGCGUAAAGGGCUCGUAGGCGGUCUAUUGCGUCGGGAGUGAAAACCUGCGGCUUAACUGUGGGCUUGCUUUCGAUACGGGUGGACUUGAGGAGGGUAGGGGAGAACGGAAUUCCUGGUGGAGCGGUGGAAUGCGCAGAUAUCAGGAGGAACACCGGUGGCGAAGGCGGUUCUCUGGACCUUUCCUGACGCUGAGGAGCGAAAGCGUGGGGAGCAAACAGGCUUAGAUACCCUGGUAGUCCACGCUGUAAACGGUGGGUACUAGGUGUGGGAUCCUUUCCGUGGGUUCUGUGCCGUAGCUAACGCAUUAAGUACCCCGCCUGGGGAGUACGGCCGCAAGGCUAAAACUCAAAGGAAUUGACGG